CCUACGGGUGGCAGCAGUGAGGAAUAUUGGUCAAUGGGCGCGAGCCUGAACCAGCCAAGUAGCGUGAAGGAUGACUGCCCUACGGGUUGUAAACUUCUUUUAUAAAGGAAUAAAGUGAGGCACGUGUGCCUUUUUGUAUGUACUUUAUGGAUAAGGCUCGGCUAACUCCGUGCCAGCAGCCGCGGUAAUACGGAGGAUCCGAGCGUUAUCCGGAUUUGUUGGGUUUAAAGGGAGCGUAGAUGGGUUGUUAAGUCAGUUGUGAAAGUUUGCGGCUCAAACGUAAACUUGCAAUUGAUACUGGCAGCCUUGAGUACAGGUGAGGUAGGCGGAAUGCGUGGUGUAGCGGUGAAAUGCUUAGAUAUCACGAAGAACUCCGAUUGCGAAGGCAGCCUACCAAACUGCGACUGACAUUGAUGCUCGAAAGUGUGGGUAUCAAACAGGAUUAGAUACCCCGGUAGUC
RNAcentral lists this ribosomal RNA (460 nucleotides) under uncultured bacterium. Its description in RNAcentral is "partial 16S ribosomal RNA". It matches the Rfam family "Bacterial small subunit ribosomal RNA", at positions 338 to 795 of the family's 1533-position model. The record is from RNAcentral.